AGGCCCCGCUCGCGGGGUACUCGAGUGGCGAACGGGUGAGUAACACGUGGGUGAUCUGCCCUGCACUUCGGGAUAAGCCUGGGAAACUGGGUCUAAUACCGGAUAUGACCUCCCUUUAGUGUGGGGGGUGGAAAGAUUUAUCGGUGCAGGAUGAGCCCGCGGCCUAUCAGCUUGUUGGUGGGGUAAUGGCCUACCAAGGCGUCGACGGGUAGCCGGCCUGAGAGGGUGGACGGCCACAUUGGGACUGAGAUACGGCCCAGACUCCUACGGGAGGCAGCAGUGGGGAAUAUUGCACAAUGGGCGGAAGCCUGAUGCAGCGACGCCGCGUGGGGGAUGACGGCCUUCGGGUUGUAAACCUCUUUCGACAGGGACGAAGUGAAAAUGACGGUACCUGUAUAAGAAGCACCGGCUAACUACGUGCCAGCAGCCGCGGUAAUACGUAGGGUGCGAGCGUUGUCCGGAAUUACUGGGCGUAAAGAGCUCGUAGGUGGUUUGUCACGUCGUCUGUGAAAUUCCGGGGCUUAACCUCGGGCGUGCAGGCGAUACGGGCAAUACUUGAGUGCUGUAGGGGAGACUGGAAUUCCUGGUGUAGCGGUGAAAUGCGCAGAUAUCAGGAGGAACACCAAUGGCGAAGGCAGGUCUCUGGGCAGUUACUGACGCUGAGGAGCGAAAGCAUGGGUAGCGAACAGGAUUAGAUACCCUGGUAGUCCAUGCCGUAAACGGUGGGCGCUAGGUGUAGGGGACUUCCACGUUCUCUGUGCCGUAGCUAACGCAUUAAGCGCCCCGCCUGGGGAGUACGGCCGCAAGGCUAAAACUCAAAGGAAUUGACGGGGGCCCGC
RNAcentral lists this ribosomal RNA (839 nucleotides) under Corynebacterium sp. UASWS1005. RNAcentral's name for it is "bacterial SSU rRNA". It matches the Rfam family "Bacterial small subunit ribosomal RNA", at positions 71 to 924 of the family's 1533-position model. The record is from RNAcentral. Lineage: Bacteria; Bacillati; Actinomycetota; Actinomycetes; Mycobacteriales; Corynebacteriaceae.